This 320-nucleotide unclassified non-coding RNA is filed under the name Hevea brasiliensis (rubber tree). Lineage: Eukaryota; Viridiplantae; Streptophyta; Magnoliopsida; Malpighiales; Euphorbiaceae. The record is from RNAcentral.
AAAUUAUCUGCCUUUUACGAGUGCAUCAGCUACUAUGUUGACCUGAUUGAACAACACAGUGAUGCAUCAGAGCCUGUAAACAUGCGUAGGGCGGCAGCAGAGUCUAUGAUAGCAUCUGGCUUAUUGGACCAAGCUGAGGUUAUUGCCCCUUUUGUCUACAAUAACCAAAUUCCUGAUGGCAAUUUGUGUUCCUAUUUCAAGCAUGAAAUGGUGGUUAAUAUAUAUGCCCAUAAAGUCCUGGAUUUAUGGUUUUCAUGCAUUAGGCUUCUUGAGGAUGAAGAUGAGAGUCUUAGGAAGAAACUUGCCCUGGAUGUCCAGAA